CUGAAGCUCAAGAAGUUGUCCCAGAAAAGAAAGUUCCUAAGGCUCCUCCCACAAAACCAGAAGCCCCACCUGCCACAGUGCCUGAAGUCCCACAAGAAAUUGUGCCAGAAAAGAAAACACUGGUGCUUCCUAAAAAGCCAGAAGUUCCACCUGUUACAGUGCCAGAGGCUCCCAAAGAAGUUGUCCUUGAAAAGAAAGUGCCCUUGGCUCCUCCUAAAAAGCCUGAAGUCCCACCUGUUAAAGUGCCAGAGGCUCCCAAAGAAGUUGUUCCUGAAAAGAAAGUGCCAGUGACUCCUCCUAAAAAACCUGAAGUCCCACCUGUUAAAGUGCCAGAGGCUCCCAUAGAGGUUGUUCCUGAAAAGAAAAUGCCCUUGGCUCCUCCUAAAAAGCCUGAAGUCCCUCCUGUUAAAGUACCAGAGGCUCCCAAAGAGGUUGUUCCUGAAAAGAAAGUGCCCUCGGCUCCUCCUAAAAAGCCUGAAGUCCCACCUGUUAAAGUGCCAGAGGCUCCGAAAGAAGUUGUUCCUGAAAAGAAAGUGCCAGCGGCUCCUCCUAAAAAGCCUGAAGUCACACCUGUUAAAGUGCCUGAGGCUCCCAAAGAAGUUGUUCCUGAAAAGAAAGUGCCAGUGCCUCCUCCUAAAAAGCCUGAAGUGCCACCCACAAAAGAGGUGCCAAAGGUAGCUGUCCCAGAAAAGAAGGUGCCUGAAGCUAUUCCUCCCAAACCGGAAAGUCCUCCCCCUGAAGUGUUCGAGGAGCCUGAGGAAGUUGCCCUAGAAGAGCCUCCUGCUGAAGUUGUGGAAGAGCCAGAGCCAGCGGCGCCUCCACAAGUGACCGUACCACCUAAGAAACCUGUCCCAGAAAAGAAAGCACCUGCUGUCGUUGCCAAAAAACCUGAACUACCACCAGUGAAAGUGCCCGAGGUGCCCAAGGAGGUUGUUCCUGAAAAGAAGGUGCCUCUGGUGGUUCCCAAAAAGCCAGAAGCCCCACCUGCUAAAGUGCCUGAAGUUCCAAAAGAAGUUGUUCCAGAAAAGAAAGUAGCUGUUCCCAAAAAGCCAGAAGUCCCACCAGCAAAAGUGCCAGAAGUGCCAAAGAAACCUGUCUUGGAAGAGAAACCAGCUGUUCCUGUUCCAGAAAGAGCGGAGUCUCCUCCCCCAGAAGUAUAUGAAGAACCUGAGGAAAUUGCUCCUGAAGAGGAAAUUGCUCCUGAAGAGGAAAAGCCAGUUCCUGUUGCAGAAGAGGAGGAACCAGAGGUUCCACCUCCAGCAGUGCCUGAAGAGCCCAAGAAGAUCAUCCCAGAGAAGAAAGUUCCUGUCAUCAAAAAACCAGAAGCACCGCCUCCUAAAGAACCUGAGAUGCCAAAGAAAGUUGUUCCAGUGAAGAAGGUCCCAACUGUUAAGAAGCCAGAAACACCAGCAGCUAAAGUGCCUGAGGUGCCCAAGAAACUUGUUCCAGUAAAGAAAGAACCUGUGCCUGUUACCAAAAAACCAGAAGUUCUUCCAGAAAAAGUGCCCAAAGUGCCUGAGAAAAUCAUCCCAGAAAAGGAAGUGUCUGUGCCUAUCCCUGCAGAGCCAGAAGUUCCACCUGCUGAAGUUGAAGAGACUCCUGAGGAAAUAAUAUAUGAAG
Molecule: long non-coding RNA, 1620 nt
Filed under: Homo sapiens (human)
Lineage: Eukaryota; Metazoa; Chordata; Mammalia; Primates; Hominidae
Description: long non-coding RNA NONHSAT185976.1
Source: RNAcentral